RNAcentral lists this unclassified non-coding RNA (1923 nucleotides) under Amphibalanus amphitrite. Its description in RNAcentral is "uncharacterized LOC122377055, transcript variant X2". Lineage: Eukaryota; Metazoa; Arthropoda; Thecostraca; Balanomorpha; Balanidae. The record is from RNAcentral.
AGCAAAGUCCCAUUUUCAAUGUGUUUGCUUUUCAGGGAGUAGGGAAAUAAUAGGGGGAUAGGGGGUCAUGCGUUAUUUUCAGGGAUUACAUCAUUAGAUAAAAUUUAUAGCAUGAAGGGCAUCGGGUCAACUAAAUUCGACAUCGCAUACUAAUUUCAAGGAACAUCUGUAGGAAUACUUUACUCCAACGACUUCCUUAAAAACUGAAAAUGAGUCAACCAAUUAAACUACCCCCUGACGAACGUAUUUGGCCAUUAAAACCGGAGGUUUUGCUUGCCAGAGGAAAAGGAGAGCUGCAAGCCAAGGAAGAAAAGGCCGUUCGUGGUGCUGUAAAAGAAGCUGUGGCCACUUACAAAAAUGAAAUUGUUUCGCUCGUGGAGAACAACAUGGAGGACAGGAAGCGCGCUGCCAAAAUGCUGGUCAAGUCGGCGGAGGAAGCCGAAGAAAUUCUAGUUAGGGAGUGCACUUAUGACAAAAAUAAGCGGCUGAAGUAUCGUGGAAAAUGUGCAAUAGAAACAUCUGAAAACAUCGACCAAGAAAUUGCUAAGCUGAACAACGUUCUUAACGACAUCUCAAACAAGCGGAAACAACGAACAAAAACACUUCUGGAUCAACAAAAGACGCUGGCGACGAUGCAGGUGGCGGAGGAGUACGGCGUCAACACCUUCCCGGAGGAGGAGCAGCAGUGCCGCCAGCUGGAGUGCAACCUCGAGAAGCUGGACCAGAAGCUGUCCGCGGCCGACAGGUGCCGACACAAGUAUCGGCAGUUCAUCAACACCCUGCAGGCGGAAAGAAAACUUAACGGACCGCGCCUAGAAAACCUCAAGAAAUGUAUCAAACAGGAUAUCUAUGAUUUGGAAGUGUGUCACGACAUCAUGAUGAAGGGACACAUUUUAUCACAAGACGCCUCUGGCAGCCUGGAGGAAGCAACUGAGACCUACACCAAUGAGAAGAAGGAUCGUGAUCAUGACCUGAAAAGUCUGAGAAAAGAAGUGCUCAAGAAGGCAGACCAGGCAAAAGGCAAAAAGGCGACGUUGACAGAAGUGAAUCUGGACAAGGUUCUGAAGGGCCAGCAGAACAUGUUCGCCCAGCUGCAGGAGCGCCGCAAAACAAUUGCAGAGCUGGAGAACUGGUCGUUCAACUUUGAGGCCCUACGUGAGGUCACCCGUGGCACCAAUAUGGCCGGCGUGGUCGCCAAGUUUGAGGGCCUGGUGGAGCGUCACACCUACCUGAGUAACGAACGAGAGCGGAUCGAGACGCAGCGCCAGGCGCAGUUACAGGCGCUGCAGGACCAGCAGGCGGUACUCUCCUCCGUGGGACACACGGGAGCUACCGAGCGGGAGGCACUGGACGGUCGUCUGGCCGAGCUGCAGAACCAGCUGCGCUCGCAGCAGGCGCGCCGUGACGCCGCCGAGGAGCAGCUGCACGUCCUGGGCAGCUCUCUGAGCGGCACUCGCGCCACACUGCGGCAGAUGCUGCGCGCGCUCAAAUUCGUCUCACGGCCGCAGGGGUGGAGUCGACGAACAGACCAGAAUGAGAUGGGUGCGUGCAAACCGGUGACCUGGAGCUGCUGCGUCUGAAGCUGAUCAGCCUGCAGCAGCGGUUCGUGGCGCUGGGUGCCCCUCUGCGGCCCGACUCUCAGCUGUCAGUGCGCUCAGAGGCCCUGGACGCGCCCAAGGCGCAGUACAGAGUGGGCCGGCAGGCACGGGAUUCGCUCAUCUCCGCAGAAAUGGGAAAAGUCGACGACAUGGAGCCAGUGAGGAUGGAAAUGAAAAACAUGUCCGAAGAGUUUGUCAAGAAGAUGACCAGCAGAGGACGUCGACCUCCAUAACGUGGCUAGAACAGCGCGAUUCGGGAUGAGCAGUGAAGUUUUGUUUGAUAUACCUACGUCCUUUGGUUGUUCACUACAAAAUCAAAUUUUGA